RNAcentral lists this ribosomal RNA (473 nucleotides) under uncultured bacterium. RNAcentral's name for it is "bacterial SSU rRNA". It matches the Rfam family "Bacterial small subunit ribosomal RNA", at positions 335 to 801 of the family's 1533-position model. The record is from RNAcentral.
ACUCCUACGGGAGGCAGCAGUAGGGAAUCUUCCACAAUGGGCGCAAGCCUGAUGGAGCAACACCGCGUGAGUGAAGAAGGGUUUCGGCUCGUAAAGCUCUGUUGUUAAAGAAGAACACGUAUGAGAGUAACUGUUCAUACGUUGACGGUAUUUAACCAGAAAGUCACGGCUAACUACGUGCCAGCAGCCGCGGUAAUACGUAGGUGGCAAGCGUUAUCCGGAUUUAUUGGGCGUAAAGAGAGUGCAGGCGGUUUUCUAAGUCUGAUGUGAAAGCCUUCGGCUUAACCGGAGAAGUGCAUCGGAAACUGGAUAACUUGAGUGCAGAAGAGGUAGUGGAACUCCAUGUGUAGCGGUGGGAUGCGUAGAUAUAUGGAAGAACACCAGUGGCGAAGGCGGCUACCUGGUCUGCAACUGACGCUGAGACUCGAAAGCAUGGGUAGCGAACAGGAUUAGAUACCCCUGGUAGGAUAGCG